This 708-nucleotide ribosomal RNA is filed under the name Triticum aestivum (bread wheat). Its description in RNAcentral is "partial small subunit ribosomal RNA". The record is from RNAcentral. Lineage: Eukaryota; Viridiplantae; Streptophyta; Magnoliopsida; Poales; Poaceae.
AUGGGGGCUCGGCUGGUUCUUUUCGGUGUUCUCGCUCUGCUCCUUGCCGGCAGCUUCGGUGCGGCCCAGGCGGCGCCGGCCGUCGUGGUUGGCUCCGUCAAGUGCUUGGAUUGCUCUCCCGACGACGUUAGUGCUGAAGAUGCCCUCAAAGGGCUUCAGGUAGCCAUCAAGUGCAGGUCCAGCGCCGGCGAGACCUACGAGACGCAGACGGUCGGGCAGCUCGACGACAAGGGCGCCUUCAGCAUCCCCCUCCAGGCAGGCCUCCUGCGCGAAGACGGCGAGCUGGACCGCGACUGCUUCGCCCAGCUCCACAGCGCGCCCGACACGCCGUGCGACGGCCCGGCGCCGCCCAGGAUCGCCCCAGCCAAGUCCACCACCCAAGGCGUCGCCGACGCCAACACCUACCUCGCGGUCGCCGAGGACACGGUUUUCUCACCCGUCGCGUGCGCGUGCAAGAAGAAGAAGAAGAACUUCAUGGUCAGCCCGCCGCCGCCGCCUCCGCCGAGGCCGGAGCCCUCAUACGGGCCCCCGACGCCGACACCCACUCCCACGCCGACGCCCUCCUACGGUCCUCCUUCCACGCCCAAGCCGCCCGCGCCCGAGGAUGACCCGAAGCCGUUCUUCCACAAGCACCCCAAGAUGAAGAAGAUGAUGCACAAGAAGAAGCCGUGCCCGCCGCUCGGCGAGGAGGACAAGCCCAAGAACUGA